GACGAACGCUGGCGGCGCGCUUAACACAUGCAAGUCGAACGGAAAGGCCUGCUUUCCCUUGUGGAUUGCGGGUACUCGAGUGGCGAACGGGUGAGUAACACGUGAGUUAUCUGCCCCCAACUUGGGUAUAAGCCUGGGAAACUGGGUCUAAUUCCCGAUAGGACUGCAGGGUGGUGCCUGUGGUGGAAAACGAUUUUCUAGUGGUUGGGGAUGAGCUCGCGGCCUAUCAGCUUGUUGGUGGGGUAAUGGCCUACCAAGGCGGCGACGGGUAGCCGGCCUGAGAGGGUGGACGGCCACAUUGGGACUGAGAUACGGCCCAGACUCCUACGGGAGGCAGCAGUGGGGAAUAUUGCACAAUGGGCGGAAGCCUGAUGCAGCGACGCCGCGUGGGGGAUGACGGCCUUCGGGUUGUAAACUCCUUUCGACCGCGAGGAAGCCACCUGGUUGGAAGGGUGGUGACGGUAGUGGUAGAAGAAGCACCGGCUAACUACGUG
Molecule: ribosomal RNA, 494 nt
Filed under: uncultured bacterium
Lineage: Bacteria
Description: partial 16S ribosomal RNA
Rfam family: Bacterial small subunit ribosomal RNA
Source: RNAcentral